GUGGGAACGUACCCUUUGGUUCGGAACAACCCAGGGAAACUUGGGCUAAUACCGGAUAAGCCCUUACGGGGAAAGAUUUAUCGCCGAAGGAUCGGCCCGCGUCUGAUUAGCUAGUUGGUGGGGUAAUGGCCCACCAAGGCGACGAUCAGUAGCUGGUCUGAGAGGAUGAUCAGCCUCACUGGGACUGAGACACGGCCCAGACUCCUACGGGAGGCAGCAGUGGGGAAUAUUGGACAAUGGGCGCAAGCCUGAUCCAGCCAUGCCGCGUGGGUGAUGAAGGCCCUAGGGUUGUAAAGCCCUUUCGGCGGGGAAGAUAAUGACGGUACCCGCAGAAGAAGCCCCGGCUAACUUCGUGCCAGCAGCCGCGGUAAUACGAAGGGGGCUAGCGUUGCUCGGAAUCACUGGGCGUAAAGCGCACGUAGGCGGAUUGUUAAGUCAGGGGUGAAAUCCUGGAGCUCAACUCCAGAACUGCCUUUGAUACUGGCGAUCUCGAGUCCGGGAGAGGUGAGUGGAACU
This 516-nucleotide ribosomal RNA is filed under the name uncultured Rhodoplanes sp. RNAcentral describes it as "bacterial SSU rRNA". It matches the Rfam family "Bacterial small subunit ribosomal RNA", at positions 117 to 668 of the family's 1533-position model. The record is from RNAcentral. Lineage: Bacteria; Pseudomonadati; Pseudomonadota; Alphaproteobacteria; Hyphomicrobiales; Nitrobacteraceae.